Molecule: non-coding RNA, 170 nt
Organism: Oryza nivara
Lineage: Eukaryota; Viridiplantae; Streptophyta; Magnoliopsida; Poales; Poaceae
Source: Rfam
AUUGGGAAGAGGAAGAAAAAGAGCACCUAAGAGCAUUAGGCAUGGGAACAUGGAGGAAAGCCUGAACCAUUAUUUCCCUUUAAAAUUAGGGGUCACAAUAUGUUCCUGUGUUUUCCCAAUACCUCCCAUGCCUAUUGUUCUCAGGUGUUCCUUUCCUCUUCCUUUUGGCU